AUGGCAAAAGCUAUACCACAAUCAUUCCCAAACACUGUCCACAAGCUAUGCCACUGGCACAUCCUCAAGAAGUUCAAGGAAUACCUCGCGUUGCUGUACAAAAAGUAUACAACAUUCAAAGAGGAGUUCACACCCAUCUUGAACUGGCUGCUAAUGCCAACCGAGUUUGAAGAUGCUUGGGCUGCACUCGUGCAGAAGUACAAGCUGCAGAACGAACCGAUGAUGAUGCAGCUAUGGAGUGAUAAGGAAAUGUGGAUAUCGGCAUAUUACAAGAACAUUUUCUGUCCUAGAAUGACUUCCACACAACGAAGCGUGAGCAUGAAUCACGUGCUGAAAAGAGGGGCUGACAAAAUUCCAGACAAGUAUAUCCUGAAACGGUACACAAAGACUGCAAAAUCGCAACCCACAUUUGAUACAAGGGACUACAACACAAUAGCAUCAGUUGGCAGCUCGAAACUCUCAAAGAAAGACAUCCUGCUGCAGCUAAAUUUGAUGGUCAACAAGAAAGCAAUGAGAUGUGAACAACAAUACGACAUAGCAUACUAUGUUCUCAAGAGGCUCGUUGAAGAACUUGACACCAUACAUUCAGCAAAUCAAAGAGAGGCUGACAAAAGAAUGGCUGGAGAGGAUGCUGAAAUUGAAGAUGACCUUGCUUAUUAUGCAGCUGAAAUGCUCCAGACUGUUGCUCAAGCCGAUCAAUGCAAGUAG
RNAcentral lists this ribosomal RNA (708 nucleotides) under Triticum aestivum (bread wheat). RNAcentral's name for it is "partial small subunit ribosomal RNA". Lineage: Eukaryota; Viridiplantae; Streptophyta; Magnoliopsida; Poales; Poaceae. The record is from RNAcentral.